AAGUCGUAACAAGGUUUCCGUAGGUGAACCUGCGGAAGGAUCAUUAUUGAAUAUGCUUGAUGGGUUGUCGCUGGCCCCUCGGGGCAUGUGCACGCCUGUCUUGACUCUAUUCAUCCACCUGUGCACCUUUUGUAGUCUUGAAACACUUUUCUGAGGGCUCAAUCGAGGAAGCAGCUGCUCGGUCGAAAGGCCGGAUUUGAGGAUUGCUAUGGUCGAAAGACUCUUGGCUCUCUUCUGUUUACAAAAGCCGCGGAAUCGUUGCCUUUUGGAAAGCUUCGGGGCUAUGUCUUAUAUCACAAACCAUGUAGUAUGUUGCCAGAAUGUAUUCAAUGGGCCUUUGUGCCUAUAAAACCAUAUACAACUUUCAGCAACGGAUCUCUUGGCUCUC
RNAcentral lists this unclassified non-coding RNA (388 nucleotides) under Leucocoprinus birnbaumii. Its description in RNAcentral is "partial internal transcribed spacer region". The stretch from base 1 to 46 matches the Rfam family "Eukaryotic small subunit ribosomal RNA", at positions 1786 to 1831 of the family's 1831-position model. The record is from RNAcentral. Lineage: Eukaryota; Fungi; Basidiomycota; Agaricomycetes; Agaricales; Agaricaceae.